GCAAACAUGGCCUAGUGCUUUGAGUGUUGGACUACAACUCAGGAGACCUGGGUUCGAUUCCCAGCUUGGCC
Phrynosoma platyrhinos (Desert horned lizard) is the source of this 71-nucleotide non-coding RNA. Lineage: Eukaryota; Metazoa; Chordata; Lepidosauria; Squamata; Phrynosomatidae. The record is from the annotation of a GenBank genome assembly.